This 614-nucleotide ribosomal RNA is filed under the name uncultured Microvirgula sp. RNAcentral's name for it is "bacterial SSU rRNA". It matches the Rfam family "Bacterial small subunit ribosomal RNA", at positions 65 to 672 of the family's 1533-position model. Lineage: Bacteria; Pseudomonadati; Pseudomonadota; Betaproteobacteria; Neisseriales; Aquaspirillaceae. The record is from RNAcentral.
AACGGUAACAGGGGAGCUUGCUCCCGCUGACGAGUGGCGAACGGGUGAGUAAUGCAUCGGAACGUGCCGAAUAGUGGGGGAUAACGCACCGAAAGGUGUGCUAAUACCGCAUACGCCCUGAGGGGGAAAGUGGGGGACCGCAAGGCCUCACGCUAAUUGAGCGGCCGAUGUCGGAUUAGCUAGUUGGUGGGGUAAAGGCUCACCAAGGCGACGAUCCGUAGCGGGUCUGAGAGGAUGAUCCGCCACACUGGGACUGAGACACGGCCCAGACUCCUACGGGAGGCAGCAGUGGGGAAUUUUGGACAAUGGGGGAAACCCUGAUCCAGCCAUGCCGCGUGUCUGAAGAAGGCCUUCGGGUUGUAAAGGACUUUUGUCCGGGAGGAAACCCUGAUCGUUAAUAGCGGUCGGGACUGACAGUACCGGAAGAAUAAGCACCGGCUAACUACGUGCCAGCAGCCGCGGUAAUACGUAGGGUGCAAGCGUUAAUCGGAAUUACUGGGCGUAAAGCGUGCGCAGGCGGUGAGAUAAGUCAGCUGUGAAAGCCCCGGGCUCAACCUGGGAACUGCGGCCGAAACUGUCUCGCUAGAGUACGUCAGAGGGGGGUGGAAUUCCAC